AAGCUGGGACAGGCCCAGCAUGAAGCCUAGGCAUCCAUAAAUAAAUGUAAGUCUGCUGUCAUUAUGCAGAGCAAGGACAGGCAGGCAGGAAUGUCCCACAGAAGCAGCAGGAGCUGGAGCAGGAGCAAGAGCAAGAGACAAAGAGCAAGCGAUUCCUUCCAUGUCUUCACUGAGGCCUCCAGCAGAAGGUGUGGCCAGAUUAGAAACGGGGAGGGACUCCACUCAAAUAAUCAGGAUUACAGGUGUCUCUUCCUCCAUCAAAGGAAAGGAUCAGAAACUGAUCUUCCCACUUCACCUUAAGCAAAACCACCUCACAGAUGUUGCCCUCCAUUUUGGGGUUUUAGUUAACACCCAUGUAGCUGACAUCAAACAAUUAACAUCAUAGUCCAGGUCAGAGUUCUGCAACUACUCUGGGGCUUUGCAGCUCCUCUGAGCACUCAGGGCUCUGCCUCCUGCCUCCCCUCUUACAGGGCGUUUUCUUCCCACGGCUGGAAAAGCAUGUAAAGUUCUUCUGGAUGUAAGUGUGAUGAGAGCAGGGCAGCAUGAGACCUGAGACCCUGGAGAAGCACAGACAGCAGGGAAGCCCUGGGCCAGCUCAGCCAGCCUGGGUCCCCUUUACCCUCAGCUCCGUGGGCUCAGACUCAGUCCUCUCCGUUUCUUCCACCAGGUGGCGCCAUUGGACAAGAAUGGGACGCUUCU
Molecule: long non-coding RNA, 699 nt
Filed under: Rattus norvegicus (Norway rat)
Lineage: Eukaryota; Metazoa; Chordata; Mammalia; Rodentia; Muridae
Description: long non-coding RNA NONRATT017132
Source: RNAcentral